AACGCGAAGAACCUUACCAUCCCUUGACAUCCAGAGUAUCACCAAGAGAUUGAUGAGUGGCCUUCGGGGACUCUGAGACAGGUGCUGCAUGGCUGUCGUCAGCUCGUGUCGUGAGAUGUUGGGUUAAGUCCCGCAACGAGCGCAACCCUUAUCUUUAGUUGCUAACAUUAGGUUGAGGACUCUAAAGAGACUGCCGGUGACAAACCCGGAGGAAGGUGGGGACGACGUCAAGUCAUCAUGGCCCUUACGGGAUGGGCUACACACGUGCUACAAUGGCCGGUACAGAGGGCUGCGAACUCGCGAGGGUGAGCUAAUCUCAAAAAGCCGGUCGUAGUCCGGAUUGGAGUCUGCAACUNGACNCCAUGAAGUCGGAAUCGCUAGUAAUCGCAGAUCAGAAUGCUGCGGUGAAUACGUUCCCGGGCCUUGUACACACCGCCCGUCACACCAUGGGAGUUG
Molecule: ribosomal RNA, 456 nt
Filed under: uncultured Pseudomonadota bacterium
Lineage: Bacteria; Pseudomonadati; Pseudomonadota
Description: bacterial SSU rRNA
Rfam family: Bacterial small subunit ribosomal RNA
Source: RNAcentral